Molecule: ribosomal RNA, 253 nt
Filed under: uncultured bacterium
Lineage: Bacteria
Description: partial 16S ribosomal RNA
Rfam family: Bacterial small subunit ribosomal RNA
Source: RNAcentral
UACGUAGGGUGCGAGCGUUAUUCGGAAUUACUGGGCGUAAAGCGUGCGCAGGCGGUUUUGUAAGCCAGAUGUGAAAUCCCCGGGCUUAACCUGGGAAUGGCAUUUGGGACUGCAAGGCUGGAGUGUGGCAGAGGAGACUGGAAUUCCUGGUGUAGCAGUGAAAUGCGUAGAUAUCAGGAGGAAUACCGAUGGCGAAGGCAGGUCUCUGGGCUGACACUGACGCUCAUGCACGAAAGCGUGGGGAGCAAACAGG